This 403-nucleotide ribosomal RNA is filed under the name uncultured bacterium. RNAcentral's name for it is "bacterial SSU rRNA". It matches the Rfam family "Bacterial small subunit ribosomal RNA", at positions 32 to 426 of the family's 1533-position model. The record is from RNAcentral.
AAUCAACGCUGGCGGCGUGCCUCAGACAUGCAAGUCGAACGAUUAAACUUGCCUUCGGGCAAGAUAUAAAGUGGCGCACGGGUGAGUAACACGUAAGUAAUCUACCUUUCGAGUGGGGAAUAACGUCGGGAAACCGACGCUAAUACCGCAUAAUGCAGCGGCACCUAAUGGUGACAGUUGUUAAAGGAGCAAUUCGCUUGAAGAGGAGCUUGCGGCAGAUUAGCAGUUGGUAAGGUAAUGGNUUACCAAGGCUACGAUCUGUAAACCGUCUAAGAGGACGGUCGGUCACACUGACACUGAAUAACGGGUCAGACUCCUACGGGAGGCAGCAGUGGGGAAUAUUGGACAAUGGGCGCAAGCCUGAUCCAGCAAUGCCGCGUGAGUGAAGAAGGUCUUCGGAUGU